UAGGGAAUCUUCCACAAUGGGCGCAAGCCUGAUGGAGCAACACCGCGUGAGUGAAGAAGGGUUUCGGCUCGUAAAGCUCUGUUGUUAAAGAAGAACACGUAUGAGAGUAACUGUUCAGGUAUUGACGGUAUUUAACCAGAAAGCCACGGCUAACUACGUGCCAG
RNAcentral lists this ribosomal RNA (164 nucleotides) under uncultured bacterium. RNAcentral's name for it is "partial 16S ribosomal RNA". It matches the Rfam family "Bacterial small subunit ribosomal RNA", at positions 355 to 511 of the family's 1533-position model. The record is from RNAcentral.